RNAcentral lists this ribosomal RNA (464 nucleotides) under uncultured bacterium. RNAcentral describes it as "bacterial SSU rRNA". It matches the Rfam family "Bacterial small subunit ribosomal RNA", at positions 32 to 484 of the family's 1533-position model. The record is from RNAcentral.
AAUCAACGCUGGCGGCGUGCCUAACACAUGCAAGUCGAACGCGAAAGCCUCGCAAGAGGCAAGUAGAGUGGCGCACGGGUGAGUAACACGUGGAUAACCUGCCUUCGAGUGGGGAAUAACCUUCCGAAAGGAGGGCUAAUACCGCAUAACACCUUUGGUCAAAAGACUGAAGGUUGAAAAGAGCAAUUUGCUCGAAGAGGGGUCCGCGCCUGAUUAGCUAGUUGGUGAGGUAACGGCNCACCAAGGCUUCGAUCAGUAGCCGUCCUGAGAGGGAGCACGGCCACACUGGAACUGAGACACGGUCCAGACACCUACGGGUGGCAGCAGUCGAGGAUUUUUCUCAAUGGGGGAAACCCUGAAGGAGCGACGCCGCGUGAGGGAUGAAGGUCUUCGGAUUGUAAACCUCUGUCAUCUGGGAACAAAGUGAUCUACCCCAACACGUGGAUUAUUGAUAGUACCGGAAG